CCUCAGGUGCUUUUCAGCACCAUAUGCAUUUACUUCCAUCUUGUCU
Equus caballus (horse) is the source of this 46-nucleotide non-coding RNA. The record is from Rfam. Lineage: Eukaryota; Metazoa; Chordata; Mammalia; Perissodactyla; Equidae.